UGGCUCAGCAGUAAAGAGCACUGGCUGCUAUUCCAGAGAUCCUGAGUUCAACUCUCAG
This is a non-coding RNA of Cricetulus griseus (Chinese hamster), 58 nucleotides long. NCBI's taxonomy places the organism in Eukaryota, Metazoa, Chordata, Mammalia, Rodentia, Cricetidae. The record is from Rfam.